RNAcentral lists this ribosomal RNA (450 nucleotides) under uncultured bacterium. Its description in RNAcentral is "partial 16S ribosomal RNA". It matches the Rfam family "Bacterial small subunit ribosomal RNA", at positions 354 to 796 of the family's 1533-position model. The record is from RNAcentral.
GUGGGGAAUAUUGGACAAUGGGCGAAAGCCUGAUCCAGCCAUGCCGCGUGUGUGAAGAAGGUCUUCGGAUUGUAAAGCACUUUAAGUUGGGAGGAAGGGCAGUAAGUUAAUACCUUGCUGUUUUGACGUUACCGACAGAAUAAGCACCGGCUAACUUCGUGCCAGCAGCCGCGGUAAUACGAAGGGUGCAAGCGUUAAUCGGAAUUACUGGGCGUAAAGCGCGCGUAGGUGGUUUUGUAAGUUGGAGGUGAAAUCCCCGGGCUCAACCUGGGAACUGCCUCCAAAACUGCAUGACUAGAGUACGGUAGAGGGUAGUUGAAUUUCCUGUGUAGCGGUGAAAUGCGUAGAUAUAGGAAGGAACACCAGUGGCGAAGGCGACUACCUGGACUGAUACUGACACUGAGGUGCGAAAGCGUGGGGAGCAAACAGGAUUAGAAACCCGUGUAGUCC